This 67-nucleotide transfer RNA is filed under the name Conus pulcher. Its description in RNAcentral is "tRNA-Tyr". It matches the Rfam family "tRNA". From Rfam's summary of the family: Transfer RNA (tRNA) molecules are approximately 80 nucleotides in length. Their secondary structure includes four short double-helical elements and three loops (D, anti-codon, and T loops). RNAcentral also lists the same sequence under 1 other name. The record is from RNAcentral. Lineage: Eukaryota; Metazoa; Mollusca; Gastropoda; Neogastropoda; Conidae.
UGUCUGGUGGCUGAGUUAUAAAGCGGUAGACUGUAGAUCUAUUAACGGAAUUAAAUUUCCCCGGCAA